GAUGAAUGCUGGCGGCGUGCCUAAUACAUGCAAGUCGAGCGGUAAGGCCCUUCGGGUACACGAGCGGCGGACGGGCUGAGUAACGCGUGGGAACAUGCCCCAAAGUGAGGGAUAACGCACCGAAAGGUGUGCUAAUACCGCAUAUGGUCUUCGGAUUAAAGGAUUUAUCCGCUUUGGGAGUGGCCCGCGUACGAUUAGAUUGUUGGUGAGGUAACGGCUCACCAAGUCGACGAUCGUUAACUGGUCUGAGAGGAUGAUCAGUCAGACUGGAACUGAGACACGGUCCAGACUCCUACGGGAGGCAGCAGUAAGGAAUCUUCCACAAUGGGCGAAAGCCUGAUGGAGCAACGCCGCGUGCAGGAUGAAGGCCCUCGGGUCGUAAACUGCUUUAUGAGUGAAGAAUAUGACGGUAACUCAUGAAUAAGCACCGGCUAACUACGUGCCAGCAGCCGCGGUAAU
This 459-nucleotide ribosomal RNA is filed under the name uncultured bacterium. Its description in RNAcentral is "bacterial SSU rRNA". It matches the Rfam family "Bacterial small subunit ribosomal RNA", at positions 28 to 524 of the family's 1533-position model. The record is from RNAcentral.